UUGAGGUGGAGAGGGGUGAGGCAAACAGAGGUGAAGCCAAACCGGAAGGGUCAGAUCGGAAGUCGGCGACAUGUGGUCGAAGGCUAGCACGUGGGGCCAGUGAGAAAACAGCGACGUUACGAGAAAGACGUGUUCUGAUUAGGAGCGAUCGUGUACCCCGCUGUGGUCGGCAAGGUAAGGUCCAACGCUUCAUUCUGUCCUUUUGCUUCUUGUUGUCUUCUUCCUCCAUCGCACCACAAGAAUAAUAAAAUUCUGGCAGAAGAUUUAUGCAGAAGAAUUUGAAGAAAAAGAAUUGAUAAUUGAAUGAUUCAGAUUUAUUUCCCAAAAAUAAUUAUUUUAUGUUUGAUGUCAACUUUUACUGAUAAAAAACUCCAGAACUACAAUGGAAAACAAACUAAUUCCAGUCAAUGCAAAUUUUGUUUUGAUGUACUUGGUAAUUAUUGUAGUGAAACCUCUCUCUCGGCCAUUCAAUCAUAAAUGAUAACGAAGCUGCUAACAUCUAGCCUUCGGUUACCUUGGACCCUUGUAUCCAUCAUCCUGAUUGGUUCUUAUUUUUGCGCGGCUAUUGUCCCCAUGUUCUGCUUGCUAAGGGGGCAUUACGUCCAAUCGUGGCUUCAGCUAAAGUCACAUGAGAUAGAGUUUUACUGGGUUUCUGGUGAGCCCUCUUUCGCCUAUAAAUAAGCCCGAUCCAACGAUGGCAGUUGUCUUUGAUUCUAGAUCUCUCACAAGUCUGGUCACUGACCACACAUGUCUUCGAUUCUAGAUCUCUCACAGGUCUGGUCGUUGACCACACACAUACAGAACACAGCUACAGCCAGUUCCAGCUCUGACGUCUUCACCACCAAUGUACUGUCUACCAUUGUUGUCGCCAGCAACACCAACAUCAACAAAAGCGGUUUUAUCUCGACGCUGUUGAGUGGAUUGUUUCCACUCACGAAUAACAGUCAGAACUAACCAGCCAGAAUAUACUAUACCAGGUAAACCAUGUCACAGCAUUUGACGCUCUACACACAUUGUUUGAUACUCACAGCUCUGCUACUUGGCCACAACUUCCUGCGUAUGAACAUUCUAAAUCUUGAGUAACUUUAAUACGAACUGGUUUUUCUCUAUCUCAGUGUUUUAAGACCUUUUACAGUCUAUGUUACAGGCACUCUUACUAUGUUCUGUUUCCUCUCAUUCACACGCACACAUGUACACUCACAUAUUGUAUACACACUAUUGCUUAUAUGACUGUCCGUCAUUUCACAUUGUUGUAUACCUUCUCUUGUACACAAAGGCCUGAUUUAUCUACUGUCUUAAUUUUAUAUGUCGCAUGCACGCACACACAGACAAACAGUUUCACUUUGUUAAUAAAUUUAUUCUCAUUAUAUAUCUAA
Molecule: long non-coding RNA, 1376 nt
Organism: Octopus bimaculoides (California two-spot octopus)
Lineage: Eukaryota; Metazoa; Mollusca; Cephalopoda; Octopoda; Octopodidae
Source: RefSeq, a predicted model, not a curated record